UGCAAGUCGAGCGAAGCACUUUGCUUAGAUUCUUCGGAUGAAGAGGAUUGUGACUGAGCGGCGGACGGGUGAGUAACGCGUGGGUAACCUGCCUCAUACAGGGGGAUAACAGUUAGAAAUGACUGCUAAUACCGCAUAAGACCACAGCACCGCAUGGUGCGGGGGUAAAAACUCCGGUGGUAUGAGAUGGACCCGCGUCUGAUUAGCUAGUUGGUAAGGUAACGGCUUACCAAGGCGACGAUCAGUAGCCGACCUGAGAGGGUGACCGGCCACAUUGGGACUGAGACACGGCCCAAACUCCUACGGGAGGCAGCAGUGGGGAAUAUUGCACAAUGGGGGAAACCCUGAUGCAGCGACGCCGCGUGAGCGAAGAAGUAUUUCGGUAUGUAAAGCUCUAUCAGCAGGGAAGAAAAUGACGGUACCUGACUAAGAAGCACCGGCUAAAUACGUGCCAGCAGCCGCGGUAAUACGUAUGGUGCAAGCGUUAUCCGGAUUUACUGGGUGUAAAGGGAGCGUAGACGGAUGGGCAAGUCUGAUGUGAAAACCCGGGGCUCAACCCCGGGACUGCAUUGGAAACUGUUCAUCUAGAGUGCUGGAGAGGUAAGUGGAAUUCCUAGUGUAGCGGUGAAAUGCGUAGAUAUUAGGAGGAACACCAGUGGCGAAGGCGGCUUACUGGACAGUAACUGACGUUGAGGCUCGA
This 700-nucleotide ribosomal RNA is filed under the name uncultured Lachnospiraceae bacterium. RNAcentral's name for it is "bacterial SSU rRNA". It matches the Rfam family "Bacterial small subunit ribosomal RNA", at positions 56 to 756 of the family's 1533-position model. The record is from RNAcentral. Lineage: Bacteria; Bacillati; Bacillota; Clostridia; Lachnospirales; Lachnospiraceae.